RNAcentral lists this ribosomal RNA (591 nucleotides) under uncultured bacterium. RNAcentral describes it as "bacterial SSU rRNA". It matches the Rfam family "Bacterial small subunit ribosomal RNA", at positions 224 to 806 of the family's 1533-position model. The record is from RNAcentral.
GAUGAGCCUAAGUCGGAUUAGCUAGUUGGUGGGGUAAAGGCCUACCAAGGCGACGAUCUGUAGCGGGUCUGAGAGGAUGAUCCGCCACACUGGGACUGAGACACGGCCCAGACUCCUACGGGAGGCAGCAGUGGGGAAUAUUGGACAAUGGGGGGAACCCUGAUCCAGCCAUGCCGCGUGUGUGAAGAAGGCCUUUUGGUUGUAAAGCACUUUAAGCGAGGAGGAGGCUACCUGGAUUAAUACUCUGGGAUAGUGGACGUUACUCGCAGAAUAAGCACCGGCUAACUCUGUGCCAGCAGCCGCGGUAAUACAGAGGGUGCGAGCGUUAAUCGGAUUUACUGGGCGUAAAGCGUGCGUAGGCGGCUGAUUAAGUCGGAUGUGAAAUCCCUGAGCUUAACUUAGGAAUUGCAUUCGAUACUGGUCAGCUAGAGUAUGGGAGAGGAUGGUAGAAUUCCAGGUGUAGCGGUGAAAUGCGUAGAGAUCUGGAGGAAUACCGAUGGCGAAGGCAGCCAUCUGGCCUAAUACUGACGCUGAGGUACGAAAGCAUGGGGAGCAAACAGGAUUAGAUACCCUGGUAGUCCAUGCCGUAAA